This 445-nucleotide ribosomal RNA is filed under the name uncultured bacterium. RNAcentral describes it as "bacterial SSU rRNA". It matches the Rfam family "Bacterial small subunit ribosomal RNA", at positions 355 to 825 of the family's 1533-position model. The record is from RNAcentral.
UCGGGAAUUUUGGGCAAUGGGCGAAAGCCUGACCCAGCAACGCCGCGUGAAGGAUGAAGUAUUUCGGUAUGUAAACUUCGAAAGAAUAGGAAGAAUAAAUGACGGUACUAUUUAUAAGGUCCGGCUAACUACGUGCCAGCAGCCGCGGUAAUACGUAGGGACCAAGCGUUGUUCGGAUUUACUGGGCGUAAAGGGCGCGUAGGCGGCAAUUCAAGUCAUCUGUGAAAUCUCCGGGCUUAACUCGGAACGGUCAGAUGAUACUGCUUUGCUAGAGUGCAGAAGGGGCAAUCGGAAUUCUUGGUGUAGCGGUGAAAUGCGUAGAUAUCAAGAGGAACACCUGAGGUGAAGACGGGUUGCUGGGCUGACACUGACGCUGAGGCGCGAAAGCCAGGGGAGCAAACGGGAUUAGAUACCUGUAGUCCCUGAGCGGGCUGGCAAGGCGCAU